GGGCCAGUAGUCUAGCCCGGAAUGACGCCUGCAUGGCAUGCAGGAGGUCGCGCGUUCAAAAAAGGGGCACCCCAUGUGGCGUUAUUUGCGCUGCACGCGGUCUCUACCGCGGUAUGCCCUAGAACCCCUACGGCAAUCGCGCCUGGUCCACCA
This 153-nucleotide transfer RNA is filed under the name Candidatus Aenigmatarchaeota archaeon. Its description in RNAcentral is "tRNA-Ala". Lineage: Archaea; Nanobdellati; Candidatus Aenigmatarchaeota. The record is from RNAcentral.